ACAGGUCAGAAUUGAACUGUUUUAUAGUGAAACAUAUACAUCCAUUUCUAAUCAAUAUCUCCUCAGGAGGAAAGUAAGAAGUUUAUAUGUUAACAAACUUUGUACUUCAAAGAAGUAUGACUCACACAUAUUCCGAGUAGAAGCUAUCAAUUUGGCCAAAACAUGACAUUCCACAGCUAUGAGAGAGUUAAUGAUGUAUGGUCACUUGGUCAAAGGUUGGAAACUCGACCCCCCCCCCCCCUUCCAGAACACUUGUAAUAACUUUGCCAAACAAACCCCAGAUUGUAAACAUCGGAUAAGAACCCCCAAAACAAAAGACUUCCUGUCUCCCUCCCAAUAACAAGACCUAGCUUUCCCAGAACAGGUUAUGUGUGGUAGCUAUACCACCGUGAGAGUGAAGCUGUUAUAAAAGAAGGCAGAGGUAUUUGACAGAUUCACUCCUGUACUGCACCCCAUCCAUGGGGCAGGCAGGGAGGUCGACUCUGCAAGCUUUUGGUGUUACAUGUCAUUAUAUAGGUGUUGACAAAUUACGAUCAACAUGUAAGAAGCGGGAACGAGAGGAAACAGUCCUCUAGGCCAGAUUGCCAGGGCUUUAGCUUUGGCUUUAGCUUACUUUAGCUUUGUUCACUUUGCACCUGAAAUAAAAAAGAACCGCAACACAACGAAUGGUGUGAUCGAGUAUUUUCUACCAGUUUCUGCGUGUGAUAUCGGCGUGUUACAAAUGGCGUAAUCGGCAGGAUUUCAUCACUGCAAGUGCAAUUAGCCCUGGCUUUCUGUGGAGCUUCUACAUCCGUGUGGGACAACUCGAUCGGACACAGAUGUCUAGAAACGUGUAAAUAUCGACGUAGAUUUAAGAUACAAUGAUUGUGUGUAUUGUAUGAGUGUUGUAGCUAAUUGUUUGUUUAGGGUAAUUUUUUUGAAAUUAUCUUGUAAUGGAAUACUUUAAUGUAUUCAGUUUAAAUUGUUUUGGGGAAAUUAAGGAGUAAUACUAUUUAUAUGUUGUUGAGACUGUCAUGAUAAUACUGUGUUUGGAACAAUCCAUACCCCCUUUCGUAUUUAAUUUCGGCUGGUUGGAUGGAGCCUCAAAUUAAGGGAUGGCAUACAAAGACACCGGUAUUUUAUAUAUUGAUAGGAGGGAUAGCAGUACAUGUAGGUGUAGAGCAGGUAUGAAGCUCUAGCUUUAUCAGAUAUGAAUAGUUGGAAUAUUCCUUUAUUUGAACUUGUAAAUUGUUGAGAUUUGAAGUUGGGCAUGAUGUUAAAGUUUUGGUAACUUAGGUAAGUUAGGUUGUAGCAUGUAUAUUACAUUCAUUGAAUUGAUAUGCAUGGUGGAUAUAUUUGUUAGUUUAAGGACUGCUUUUGGAAAAGCAGGGGAGCCCAUGAACGUGAAAUGUUGUUUCAGUUUGGGUCAGCAAUUGUUCGGAGUAACUAUGUGCGUGUGUUGUGUAAUGGAUAUUGUAUUGUUUUAUACCGAGAUUUCUGGAAUGUAACUGGGAUUUGGCUGGAAUUACUGUUGGACUUAGCCUGGAUAGUGUAUUUAAUGUUUAUUCCGAAAACCUCGACAUGAGACCGGAAUCAUGCAUGGAAGAAAUACUGGGGCGACUUCUAGGAACAGUAGGGUUUAUCUCUCUAUCUUUGUUUUUCUGUUAACCUCAUAGAGAGGCCGGAAAGGGCACAUUGGUAGCGGAGAGGAUUAGCCAAAAGUUAUAAGAUUUCUUUGUAUAUUGCAUUGUCGAAUUUUUGUAUCUUAGGAGUUUAUUAAGAUAUGCGAAAGGAAUAUCUGUAGGGCAAGGUCGUUACGAAAUAUAGUUGACAGUUUUACUGCUGUAUUUGCUAGAGUGUGUACAUGUACUAUAAGGACGAUUAUUGUUUUUGUGUGUUUAAAAUGACACAGGGUAGAAUAAUUGGGUAUAUACCGUGAAAAUCAUCUGGCUUGUUAGAGAUGCCUGUAAUAUGAAGAUUUGUGUUGAUAACUAAGGUUUGGCAGUAGAGACUCUGGAACUGUUAGGAUCGGUUGGGUAUAGCACUUAGAUUAGGUUAAUGCUAGGAGCCUCGACAUGAGACCAGUAUUACAUAAUAAGGAGUGCUAGAAUGACUGAAACAGAUGAGUUUUUCGCACUAGAUAUGUUUUCUGUGAUUCUCGUCAUGAGACCAGAAAGUUCGUAUUAGUGGUGCGCGUUGGCCAAUAAUGUGUUAUGAUUUCAAUUUUUAUAUUCUGUAUUAUGCAAAAAUAUUUUUAAUCACAUGGUUAAUUUUGAUUUGCAUAUUGGUAGGCAUCGGUAUUAGGAUCAGGAAACAGCCAUGAUGGGCAGAAGGUAUAGAGGGAAUUAAAUAUAAUUUUUGUUGUAGUCUGAGUGUCGGGACGACACUCAAUUAAGCAGGGGAGUGUGUAACAGGUCAGAAUUGAACUGUUUUAUAGUGAAACAUAUACAUCCAUUUCUAAUCAAUAUCUCCUCAGGAGGAAAGUAAGAAGUUUAUAUGUUAACAAACUUUGUACUUCAAAGAAGUAUGACUCACACAUAUUCCGAGUAGAAGCUAUCAAUUUGGCCAAAACAUGACAUUCCACAGCUAUGAGAGAGUUAAUGAUGUAUGGUCACUUGGUCAAAGGUUGGAAACUCGACCCCCCCCCCCCCUUCCAGAACACUUGUAAUAACUUUGCCAAACAAACCCCAGAUUGUAAACAUCGGAUAAGAACCCCCAAAACAAAAGACUUCCUGUCUCCCUCCCAAUAACAAGACCUAGCUUUCCCAGAACAGGUUAUGUGUGGUAGCUAUACCACCGUGAGAGUGAAGCUGUUAUAAAAGAAGGCAGAGGUAUUUGACAGAUUCACUCCUGUACUGCACCCCAUCCAUGGGGCAGGCAGGGAGGUCGACUCUGCAAGCUUUUGGUGUUACAUGUCAUUAUAUAGGUAAGAAGAUUAUUCUUUUGUUAUAAAUUGGAUAAUUAUUGAGAUAAUUAGUACUUUUGUAGAUGUAUUUUGAUGUUAGUUAAUAACCUUGGUAUCGUUCUUAACGAUAGAGUUUGUGCUGAAUUAAUAUGCAUUAUGUAAGGUGUGGCAUACUAUUUGUUUAAUCAUCAGUUUAGGUGGAUUUCGUUAGUGAGAUAAGCACUAGAUUAGGAUUUGGUAAUAGUAAUUUGAGAUGAUUUGAAUAUUACUAUGUUAUCUGUUAUAUUGCUUGUAAUCUUUAGGAGUUUUAGUUAUAUAAUGUGUUGUUGAGAUUAACUCUGGAUAAUCGUAUUUUGCAAGACAGUUGUAAUUUAAAGUAAUGUUUUAAGAGUUAACAGUUAACGGAUAUAAUCUGAACCUUUUUCAGUUUGGUGUUUUAGAGUCAAAUUUACAAUGAUUUGUAUUAAUUAUUAUUCCUCCAGGUGUUGACAAAUUACGAUCAACAUGUAAGAAGCGGGAACGAGAGGAAACAGUCCUCUAGGCCAGAUUGCCAGGGUGAGUGGGUUAUCAUAUUCAAUGUAUAAACCACUAAUUCAACGUAGUUUUAAUUGGGAAUUAUGUUUGGUUGUUUGACAAAGUUCACUUGAUGGUUGUAUUCAUUUAUUUGUUGGGAAAGUUAUCCAUACAGAUGGAAGAACUUUAUUUGUGAUUAGAUGCUGGUUAUUUUCAUGCAAUAUUGAUUAAGUUUUAAUGAAUGUAAUAUAAACAACAUGUUUAUCAUUUAUUAUUAUGAGUCGGCUUGACGUCAUAUUGUUGGAAUGCGUAUCUUAGAGUCAUUAACAAAUAUUAUGUUAUAUCGCUAUUAUGUGUGUUUUUCAAACAUGUCCAUAUUUCUAUUUAAUUGUUUUAACUUUGUUUAUUUGUCCAGGCUUUAGCUUUGGCUUUAGCUUACUUUAGCUUUGUUCACUUUGCACCUGAAAUAAAAAAGAACCGCAACACAA
This is a long non-coding RNA of Strongylocentrotus purpuratus (purple sea urchin), 3885 nucleotides long. RefSeq lists it as uncharacterized. The record is from RefSeq and is a predicted model, not a curated record. NCBI's taxonomy places the organism in Eukaryota, Metazoa, Echinodermata, Echinoidea, Camarodonta, Strongylocentrotidae. The transcript has 3 exons.